Lathyrus oleraceus (garden pea) is the source of this 1311-nucleotide long non-coding RNA. RefSeq lists it as uncharacterized. The record is from RefSeq and is a predicted model, not a curated record. The transcript is spliced from 4 exons. NCBI's taxonomy places the organism in Eukaryota, Viridiplantae, Streptophyta, Magnoliopsida, Fabales, Fabaceae.
GCGUGUAGGGCCGGGAAGAGUCUGUGUGUCACUUACAAGCAUGUGAACAACACUUGACAUUGUAGGUCUGUCUGCUGCAUCUUCUUGUACACACAAUAGUGCAAUCUGUAUACACUUCAGAUAUUCAUCAGACCAAUGUUAAAUGAAGUGCAAAUAUGAGGUGAAUUCAAAGAAAAAGAAAUAAAAACCAUACCUUGUUGAGGCACAGGAGCAUUAGAAACUGUAUCAUUUAUAAAAAACGGCUGAGUUUCAUACAUCAUAAUACAACUUGGAGAAAAAACUCUCCACACUUUCUUCUCCUCGCAACAAUUCUCAACAUCCUCGAGCAUAUUACUCAAACAAGUUCCGCAUUCCUCACUAGUAAUAUCUCUACUACACUGCACCCAACCGUACCGUCUCUGAGUACCAUUUAUGUUAAACAUAUGCAUACCAAACAUCAAAGGUGUCUGUGACCCCAUUUGUAUCAAACCGUUCAUCAAAAUCCUCGCAUCACUAUCAAAUUCACCAGCACUAGUCAAAUUCUGUGUUGCAUCAAACAUAGGAAUCCUUGGUCUUAUAGUAAGGUUACCGAAGAAGUUCUGAUUCGAGUACCUCAGAAGACAAAAAGGGUACCACAAAAUUGCUGAAGCAUUAUUAGGACAGUGUUGUUUCAACAAUCUGCUAGAGUUUUGGACACAUGAAUGACAGAGACUUGUAUUAACAUCGCCGCGACACAGAGGGAGCAAUAGAAGAUUGGUCCAAACAAGCAUAUCUAUAAUCAAGUAGCUCUUGUGAAUUGGUGUUGUUUUGGCCUACAACAAAAUAGAAAAGAUACUGCCUCAUAGGGCUGGGCAGCGGAUCGAGCGGUACGAGGCCAAAACCCCAAACGGACCCAACCGGGUGAAUAAGGUUGAUCCAAUUCUGACCGGAUUAAUAAUUCGGGUUUAUUUGGGUUUGGGUUUCUAGUUUGGUUUUCUCGAGCUUAAUAGAAUUGGGUCCAAAUGGAAAUAAUACAAUUUCUUGAUUUAACUUCCCCACCAAAUUAUACUUGACACUCCUCAUACUUUCAUACUGUCCAAGCUGCCUCUAGCUGAAAAUUGAAUGAAAAUUCCGAAUGAAAUUAUACUUGACAUUUUUCUUUUAUUUUACUUUAACAUUCUUGUAUUUGGAAGUAUAGAGAACGCGGAGAAAUACUUGACAUUUUUCUUUUAUUUUACUUUAACAUUGUAUUUGGAAGUAUAGAGAACGCGGAGAAAGGAAGUCAUUUAAUGGGAAAGGGAGAAGAGGACUUUUCAUUUAUGUAUGAAAGUUUAUUAUAUAAAAUAUUUGUUA